UGGGGAUCUCCCAUGACAAGUCUGAAGCUGUGAGGCUGAGCUCCUGGUGCUGUGUUGGGACAAGCCCUGACCGCGCUCCCACAUCAUGUACUGAGAGUGAGCUUCGGCUCACGUAUCCCUCAUCUGUUCCUCACUGAGGGCUCUGUGCCUUUGCCUCGGUUUCCCAAGUGAAUUUCUGGGAGUCCUGGGUUAAGUCCAGUGCAGGAGUGAGGGCUGCAGAAGAAGAGCUGGAGCGAUGCACCUCUCAUUCCAUCAUGGAAACAACAGUGGAAAUAACAAGGGCUUUGUGAGAGACUGAAGCUUCCGGAUAGGAUCUGCAACGCUCAGGUUCAGCCCCACCACUGGCAGACCUUCAGAGAAGUCGGUUCUUGCACAAACAGGAAG
RNAcentral lists this long non-coding RNA (384 nucleotides) under Chrysolophus pictus (golden pheasant). Its description in RNAcentral is "lncRNA (ENSCPIG00010004595.1)". The record is from RNAcentral. Lineage: Eukaryota; Metazoa; Chordata; Aves; Galliformes; Phasianidae.